UUAAGUUCAGCGGGUAGUCCUACCUGAUUUGAGGUCAAUUUUGUCAAAGAGAUUUCCUCUCAUUCAUUAGAAGCAGUGUAAUCUGUUUCAUGCAGUGUGCUUAAAGGCAUAGACAGUUAUCAACACCUGUAGUAAGCUUUCUCUGCUCAGAUACCACUAAUACAUUUCAGGGGAGCAGACUUAAUAUUCCAAAGCCUGCA
This 200-nucleotide unclassified non-coding RNA is filed under the name Inocybe sp. RNAcentral describes it as "partial internal transcribed spacer 2". Lineage: Eukaryota; Fungi; Basidiomycota; Agaricomycetes; Agaricales; Inocybaceae. The record is from RNAcentral.